GGGCGUGUGGUCUAGUGGUAUGAUUCUCGCUUUGGGUGCGAGAGGUCCUGGGUUCAAUUCCCAGUAUGCCCC
Molecule: transfer RNA, 72 nt
Filed under: Zygosaccharomyces bailii CLIB 213
Lineage: Eukaryota; Fungi; Ascomycota; Saccharomycetes; Saccharomycetales; Saccharomycetaceae
Description: tRNA-Pro (TGG) (tRNA-Pro-TGG-1-1)
Rfam family: tRNA
About the family: Transfer RNA (tRNA) molecules are approximately 80 nucleotides in length.
Source: RNAcentral